GAUGAACGCUGGCGGCGUGCCUAAUACAUGCAAGUCGAGCGAACAGACGAGGAGCUUGCUCCUCUGACGUUAGCGGCGGACGGGUGAGUAACACGUGGAUAACCUACCUAUAAGACUGGGAUAACUUCGGGAAACCGGAGCUAAUACCGGAUAAUAUAUUGAACCGCAUGGUUCAAUAGUGAAAGACGGUUUUGCUGUCACUUAUAGAUGGAUCCGCGCCGCAUUAGCUAGUUGGUAAGGUAACGGCUUACCAAGGCAACGAUGCGUAGCCGACCUGAGAGGGUGAUCGGCCACACUGGAACUGAGACACGGUCCAGACUCCUACGGGAGGCAGCAGUAGGGAAUCUUCCGCAAUCGGCGAAAGCCUGACGGAGCAACGCCGCGUGAGUGAUGAAGGUCUUCGGAUCGUAAAACUCUGUUAUUAGGGAAGAACAAAUGUGUAAGUAACUAUGCACGUCUUGACGGUACCUAAUCAGAAAGCCACGGCUAACUACGUG
This 497-nucleotide ribosomal RNA is filed under the name uncultured bacterium. RNAcentral describes it as "partial 16S ribosomal RNA". It matches the Rfam family "Bacterial small subunit ribosomal RNA", at positions 28 to 507 of the family's 1533-position model. The record is from RNAcentral.